This is a long non-coding RNA of Physella acuta, 1426 nucleotides long. RefSeq lists it as uncharacterized. NCBI's taxonomy places the organism in Eukaryota, Metazoa, Mollusca, Gastropoda, Physidae. The record is from RefSeq and is a predicted model, not a curated record.
UGCAGUUCAGGCGGAGACAUUUUUUUCCCUCUCUGCCCCACUCACCCCGGUGAAACGGUACGUUUUGUAGACAAGAGCCGGGUUCGGGGUGAGUCGAACGUGGACACUGGACGCAACAAUGUCCGUUGUUUUCUUGAAAUCAAUGUGUCGAAAGCUGCCGGAGGAGUAAGUCUACAACUGUGAUUUCCGGUCGGUGGCAAGGGGAGGCUAUUCAAGGAGUGUUAUUGUGUUUCCGAUAGGGCCGGAUGCGGGGGUGAUCUGUCCUUGACAUUCAGGAGUGUGGAGUGGAGUAUCGACGGUCACGGUUCAGUGGUUGCUGGAAGGUUCUGAGCGUGGAGAAGUGGACGCCAUUUGAGUUUUUUGGAGAAGAUAAAAAAAAAUGACGCUCAACCAUGAAACGAUUAAGAUGAUCGCUGGUGAGACAAUGACAUCCGUACUACCUUACAGUUUCUCUGGAUGGCUGCAGUACGUACACGUAGAGGAUUUUAAUGGAAUAUAUUUCUAGACUAACAGUAGUGCUUUCAAAGGAUUAUAUUUAGGUCUUACGAUCAUGUAAGACAUUCACUAACAGGAUACCGGAAAUGGAGGAGCCAUAGACAGUUCUGACGAAGGCCAAAUUCAGCAACGAAGGACAGCCAAGAUAAUGUGGCAAGGGCAACUUCAAAAGAUGUGUGGAGAUGUGUGGGGAUGUGUGGAGAUGUGGGUAUGUUGGUGAAUUCAACCCGCCCAAAGACAAGUGUGUCGGUGAAAAUGUCUACGUGGACCCAUUCAUCCUUGACACAAUUCUAUUCUGUCAUGUUAAACAUGACAUUAAAAAUGACAUUUAAAAAGACAUUUAUACCUGUCUAACUCGAUUAUCAGAUGACAACUAUUUUGUGAUUUUCUUAUUUUUGUGCUAAAUAGAAAUCAUGAAAAGGCUCUUACAAAUGAUUUAAUUAGAGAUCUGACAUAUACUGAAUUAUCCAAUUUAUGGAGAUUUGUAAAAUGCUCUGAAAAUGAUACACGUGAAUCUUUAAUACCUAAUGUACUGAGCGGCCCUAUUCAUCAAUCAAUGAAAUAAAAUCCUAAAACAUCAUGUAGCCUGCACUUAUAGCUAGGGCAAACAAAUAACUAGCUACAAUAGGUAUAGGGACGACGUGGUUGUAUGGUAGAGCAUUCGACUGCUAACAUGUAAGUCUCGAGUUCGGAUCAUGAAGAACGUCCCUGAGUCCACCCAGUUCUGAUGGGGAAAGUAAAAGCUGUUGGACAAAGUGCUGACCACACUAUCCCUUUAUUCUUUAGUUACUGAAAAAGGUGAACACUACUUCACCUGCCCCAUGGACGGGAAGGUUCGAAAGAGUACUUUUCCAAUGGGUCCUAUUUCACAACUCAUAGUCUCAAAAGGUCUUUUGCCAAAUUUUAUAUGUAAUGUCCUCAAACCAGAGUU